GCCCCCGUGGCGCAGUCUGGUUAGCGCAUCGGACUUUUAAUCCGUUGGUCGUGGGUUCGAAUCCCACCGGGGGCA
Molecule: transfer RNA, 75 nt
Filed under: Acidimicrobiia bacterium
Lineage: Bacteria; Bacillati; Actinomycetota; Acidimicrobiia
Description: tRNA-Lys
Rfam family: tRNA
About the family: Transfer RNA (tRNA) molecules are approximately 80 nucleotides in length.
Source: RNAcentral